GUCUGUGUAGUAUAUUAAUUACCCUGGUCUUGUAAACCAGAAAAGAGGAAAAACAA
Molecule: transfer RNA, 56 nt
Filed under: Vansonia rueppellii (Rueppell's pipistrelle)
Lineage: Eukaryota; Metazoa; Chordata; Mammalia; Chiroptera; Vespertilionidae
Description: Pipistrellus rueppellii (Rueppell's pipistrelle) partial tRNA-Thr
Source: RNAcentral